RNAcentral lists this ribosomal RNA (255 nucleotides) under Clostridioides difficile. Its description in RNAcentral is "partial 23S ribosomal RNA". It matches the Rfam family "Bacterial large subunit ribosomal RNA", at positions 2169 to 2422 of the family's 2925-position model. The record is from RNAcentral. Lineage: Bacteria; Bacillati; Bacillota; Clostridia; Peptostreptococcales; Peptostreptococcaceae.
CGCCAGUUUUGGCGGAGCCAUCCUUGGGAUACCACCCUUGUAGUACUGGGACUCUAACCAUAGGCCAUGAAUCUGGUCUUGGGACACUGUCAGGUGGGCAGUUUGACUGGGGCGGUCGCCUCCCAAAAGGUAACGGAGGCGCUCAAAGGUUCUCUCAGUACGGUCGGAAAUCGUACGUAGAGUGUAAAGGCAAAAGAGAGCUUGAUUGCAAGACAUACAGGUCGAGCAAGGAUGAAAAUCGGACUUAGUGAUCCG